Molecule: ribosomal RNA, 459 nt
Filed under: uncultured bacterium
Lineage: Bacteria
Description: partial 16S ribosomal RNA
Rfam family: Bacterial small subunit ribosomal RNA
Source: RNAcentral
CCUACGGGAGGCAGCAGUGAGGAAUAUUGGUCAAUGGGCGGAAGCCUGAACCAGCCAAGUAGCGUGCGGGAUGAAGGCCCUACGGGUCGUAAACCGCUUUUGCACGGGGAUAACACCCUCCACUUGUGGAGGUCUGCAGGUACCGUGCGAAUAAGGGCCGGCUAAUUCCGUGCCAGCAGCCGCGGUAAUACGGAAGGCCCGAGGGUUAUCGGGAUUCAUUGGGCUUAACGGGAACGUAGGCGGGCUUUCAAGUCAGCUGUAAAAUCGCGCGGCUCAACCGCGCCCCGCAGUUGAAACUGGAAGCCUUGAGUUCACAACAGGCAGGCGGAAUUCGUGGUGUAGCGGUGAAAUGCAUAGAUAUCACGAGGAACCCCGAUGGCGAAGGCAGCCUGCCGGGGUGCGACUGACGCUGAGGUUCGAAGGUGCGGGUAUCAAACAGGAUUAGAUACCCGAGUAGUC